This 862-nucleotide small RNA is filed under the name Pongo abelii (Sumatran orangutan). RNAcentral describes it as "retained intron". Lineage: Eukaryota; Metazoa; Chordata; Mammalia; Primates; Hominidae. The record is from RNAcentral.
UGAAAAAAGUGUCGGAGAUUGGCGCGUCCUCUGGUUCCUUUAUCGAACUUUCCUUGUAGGAUUGCCACCCAGGACGAUGAGCGGCUGAGAUGGAGACGUCUGCCUCAGCCACUGCCUCCGAGAAGCAAGAAGCCAAAAGUGGGAUCCUGGAGGCCGCUGGCUUCCCCGACCCGGGUAAAAAGGCCUCUCCUUUGGUAGUGGCUGCAGCGGCAGCAGCAGCGGUAGCUGCCCAAGGAGUGCCGCAGCAUCUCUUGCCACCGUUCCAUGUGUCCCUACCAAUUGACAUGCGACACCAGGAAGGAAGGUACCAUUACGAGCCUCAUUCUGUCCACGGUGUGCACGGGCCCCCCGCCCUCAGCGGCAGCCCUGUCAUCUCUGACAUCUCCUCGAUCCGGCUUUCCCCGCACCCGGCUGGCCCUGGGGAGUCCCCAUUCAACGCUCCCCACCCGUACGUGAACCCCCACAUGGAACACUACCUCCGUUCUGUGCACAGCAGCCCCACGCUCUCCAUGAUCUCUGCGGCCAGGGGCCUCAGCCCCGCUGACGGUGAGUAGGGUAUGGGGAUGGGGAGGGGCAGCUAGGGCAUUGGAGCAGGGCUCAGCCAGCCUCUCUCACACUAACACUGUCAACUCCCCCCAGCCUUGGUCCCUUUGAACGGUGACCAGGCUGGUGUUCUUCACACUACUUCCAAACAACAAGUUUUUUGGGUUUUAUGCUCAUUAAAGAGCCCUUGGUAAGCACUCUUUUGCAUGCAAACCAUAUAUGAUCUAUUGUAAUAAUAACGGUAAGGGUCUAUCCUAGUAGGUCUUGUGUAGCUGAGAACCACUGGUUGUAACCAACCAAAGUCUGCAGAAGCUGUUGU